Molecule: ribosomal RNA, 610 nt
Filed under: uncultured crenarchaeote
Lineage: Archaea; Thermoproteati; Thermoproteota
Description: bacterial SSU rRNA
Rfam family: Archaeal small subunit ribosomal RNA
Source: RNAcentral
GCAUACGGCUCAGUAACGCGUAGUCCACCUAACCUAUGGACGGGAAUAACCUCGGGAAACUGAGAAUCAAUGCCCGAUAGAACAUUAUGCCUGGAAUGGUUUAUGUUCCAAAUGAUUUAUCGCCGUAGGAUGGGACUGCGGCCUAUCAGUUUGUUGGUGAGGUAAUGGCCCACCAAGACUAUUACAGGUACGGGCUCUGAGAGGAGUAGCCCGGAGAUGGGUACUGAGACACGGACCCAGGCCCUAUGGGGCGCAGCAGGCGAGAAAACUUUGCAAUGUGCGAAAGCACGACAAGGUUAAUCCGAGUGGUUUCUGCUAAAGAAACCUUUUGUCAGUCCUAGAAACACUGAUGAAUAAGGGGUGGGCAAGUUCUGGUGUCAGCCGCCGCGGUAAAACCAGCACCUCAAGUGGUCAGGAUGAUUAUUGGGCCUAAAGCAUCCGUAGCCGGCUCUGUAAGUUUUCGGUUAAAUCUGUACGCUCAACGUACAGGCUGCCGGGAAUACUGCAGAGCUAGGGAGUGGGAGAGGUAGACGGUACUCGGUAGGAAGGGGUAAAAUCCUUUGAUCUAUUGAUGACCACCUGUGGCGAAGGCGGUCUACCAGAACACGUC